GUGUCAGCCGCCGCGGUAAUACGUAGGGGGCAAGCGUUGUCCGGAUUUAUUGGGCGUAAAGAGCGUGUAGGCGGCCAGACAGGUCCGUUGUGAAAACUGGAGGCUCAACCUCCAGACGUCGAUGGAAACCGUCUGGCUAGAGUCCGGAAGAGGAGAGUGGAAUUCCUGGUGUAGCGGUGAAAUGCGCAGAUAUCAGGAAGAACACCCGUGGCGAAAGCGGCUCUCUGGGACGGUACUGACGCUGAGACGCGAAAGCGUGGGGAGCGAACAGGAUUAGAAACCCCCGUAGUCC
Molecule: ribosomal RNA, 292 nt
Filed under: uncultured bacterium
Lineage: Bacteria
Description: partial 16S ribosomal RNA
Rfam family: Bacterial small subunit ribosomal RNA
Source: RNAcentral